GCAGUCGAGCGGACAGAUGGGAGCUUGCUCCCUGAUGUUAGCGGCGGACGGGUGAGUAACACGUGGGUAACCUGCCUGUAAGACUGGGAUAACUCCGGGAAACCGGGGCUAAUACCGGAUGGUUGUUUGAACCGCAUGGUUCAAACAUAAAAGGUGGCUUCGGCUACCACUUACAGAUGGACCCGCGGCGCAUUAGCUAGUUGGUGAGGUAACGGCUCACCAAGGCAACGAUGCGUAGCCGACCUGAGAGGGUGAUCGGCCACACUGGGACUGAGACACGGCCCAGACUCCUACGGGAGGCAGCAGUAGGGAAUCUUCCGCAAUGGACGAAAGUCUGACGGAGCAACGCCGCGUGAGUGAUGAAGGUUUUCGGAUCGUAAAGCUCUGUUGUUAGGGAAGAACAAGUACCGUUCGAAUAGGGCGGUACCUUGACGGUACCUAACCAGAAAGCCACGGCUAACUACGUGCCAGCAGCCGCGGUAAUACGUAGGUGGCAAGCGUUGUCCGGAAUUAUUGGGCGUAAAGGGCUCGCAGGCGGUUUCUUAAGUCUGAUGUGAAAGCCCCCGGCUCAACCGGGGAGGGUCAUUGGAAACUGGGGAACUUGAGUGCAGAAGAGGAGAGUGGAAUUCCACGUGUAGCGGUGAAAUGCGUAGAGAUGUGGAGGAACACCAGUGGCGAAGGCGACUCUCUGGUCUGUAACUGACGCUGAGGAGCGAAAGCGUGGGGAGCGAACAGGAUUAGAUACCCUGGUAGUCCACGCCGUAAACGAUGAGUGCUAAGUGUUAGGGGGUUUCCGCCCCUUAGUGCUGCAGCUAACGCAU
This 821-nucleotide ribosomal RNA is filed under the name Bacillus subtilis. RNAcentral describes it as "bacterial SSU rRNA". It matches the Rfam family "Bacterial small subunit ribosomal RNA", at positions 57 to 860 of the family's 1533-position model. Lineage: Bacteria; Bacillati; Bacillota; Bacilli; Caryophanales; Bacillaceae. The record is from RNAcentral.